AGAGUUUGAUCAUGGCUCAGAGCGAACGCUGGCGGCAGGCUUAACACAUGCAAGUCGAGCGGGCGUAGCAAUACGUCAGCGGCAGACGGGUGAGUAACGCGUGGGAACGUACCUUUUGGUUCGGAACAACACAGGGAAACUCGUGCUAAUACCGGAUAAGCCCUUACGGGGAAAGAUUUAUCGCCGAAAGAUCGGCCCGCGUCUGAUUAGCUAGUUGGUGAGGUAAUGGCUCACCAAGGCGACGAUCAGUAGCUGGUCUGAGAGGAUGAUCAGCCACAUUGGAACUGAGACACGGUCCAGACUCCUACGGGAGGCAGC
Molecule: ribosomal RNA, 318 nt
Filed under: uncultured bacterium
Lineage: Bacteria
Description: bacterial SSU rRNA
Rfam family: Bacterial small subunit ribosomal RNA
Source: RNAcentral